This 216-nucleotide ribosomal RNA is filed under the name Glomeromycotina sp. RNAcentral describes it as "partial small subunit ribosomal RNA". The stretch from base 40 to 216 matches the Rfam family "Eukaryotic small subunit ribosomal RNA", at positions 686 to 864 of the family's 1831-position model. Lineage: Eukaryota; Fungi; Glomeromycota. The record is from RNAcentral.
GGGUCAGUAGGUUGGUCGUGCCACCGGUACGUACUGGUCUCACUGAUUCCUCCUUCCUGAAGAACCGUAAUGCCAUUAAUUUGGUGUUGCGGGGGAACAGGACUGUUACUUUGAAAAAAUUAGAGUGUUUAAAGCAAGCUAACGCUUGAAUACAUUAGCAUGGAAUAAUGAAAUAGGACGAUCGAUCCCAUUUUGUUGGUUUCUAGGAUUGACGUA